Molecule: unclassified non-coding RNA, 294 nt
Filed under: fungal sp.
Lineage: Eukaryota; Fungi
Description: partial contains 5.8S ribosomal RNA, internal transcribed spacer 2, and large subunit ribosomal RNA
Source: RNAcentral
CGCACCUUGCGCUCCUUGGUAUUCCGAGGAGCAUGCCUGUUUGAGUGUCAUUAAAUUCUCAACCUCACCCGUUUUCAUUAACCUGCUGAGGCUUGGAUGUGGGGGUUUGUGCAGGCUGCCUCAGCGCGGUCUGCUCCCCUGAAAUGCAUUAGCGAGUUCAUACUGAACCUCCGUCUAUUGGUGUGAUAAUUAUCUACGCCGUUGACUUGGUUUAGACUCGCUUCUAACCGUCCGUAAGGACAAUACCUUUGACAAUUUGACCUCAAAUCAGGUAGGACUACCCGCUGAACUUAA